GAUGAACGCUAGCGGCAGGCUUAACACAUGCAAGUCGAGGGGCAGCGCGGGAUAGCAAUAUCCUGGCGGCGACCGGCGGAAGGGUGCGUAACGCGUGAGCGACAUGCCCGUUGCCCGGGGACAACCGGUGGAAACGCCGACUAAUCCCCGAUGGGAUACGACGCUUCAUGGCAUUGUAUUGAAAGUUACGGCGGCGACGGAUUGGCUCGCGUCCGAUUAGCUGGUUGGCGGGGUAACGGCCCACCAAGGCUGCGAUCGGUAGGGGUUCUGAGAGGAAGGCCCCCCACAAUGGGACUGAGACACGGCCCAUACUCCUACGGGAGGCAGCAGUGAGGAAUAUUGGUCAAUGGGCGGAAGCCUGAACCAGCCAUGCCGCGUGCGGGAAGGAGGCCCUAUGGGCUGUGAACCGCUUUUGCCUGGGGGCAAUAAGGGCGUCGCGCACGUCCGAUGAGAGUACCAGGCGAAUAAGCAUCGGCUAACUCCGUG
This 486-nucleotide ribosomal RNA is filed under the name uncultured bacterium. RNAcentral describes it as "partial 16S ribosomal RNA". It matches the Rfam family "Bacterial small subunit ribosomal RNA", at positions 28 to 507 of the family's 1533-position model. The record is from RNAcentral.